AUGGAUCUGUUGAAUGCUAUUAACCAGUUGAGAUUGCUCCAAGGUGAUCAUUGGCACUUAUUAAACUCCGCAAACAUUGCCCUCAUCCCAAAGAAGGGGGCAUCUGUCUCUGCUGCUGAUUUACAGCCCAUAAGCCUCAUGCAUAGCGUGGCUAAGAUCCUAGGGAAGAUGAUUGCCACCAGGCCUGCUCUUGCCUUGCAAUCUCUGGUGUCAAGCUGUCAAAGCGCAUUUAUCAAGAAGAGAUAUAUUCAAGACAACUUCCUGUUUUGUAAGAAACAUUGUAAAGGAAGCCCACUGCAAGAAGAAACCCCUGCCGUUCCUCAAACUCGUCUUUGCCAAGGCUUUUGA
This 348-nucleotide ribosomal RNA is filed under the name Triticum aestivum (bread wheat). RNAcentral describes it as "partial small subunit ribosomal RNA". The record is from RNAcentral. Lineage: Eukaryota; Viridiplantae; Streptophyta; Magnoliopsida; Poales; Poaceae.